AGUGAACGCUGGCGGCGUGCUUAACACAUGCAAGUCGAACGAGAACGGGUUAUAGCUUGCUAUAAUUGUCAGCUAAGUGGCGCACGGGUGAGUAAUGUAUAGGUAAUAUGCCUCUUACUAAGGGAUAACAAAUGGAAACGUUUGCUAAUACCUUAUACUCCUUAUUAACAGAAGUUAAUAAGGGAAAGAUUUAUUGGUAAGAGAUUAGCCUGUAUUGUAUCAGUUAGUUGGUGGGGUAAUGGCUUACCAAGACUAUGACACAUAACUGGUUUGAGAGGAUGAUCAGUCACACGGGAACUGAGACACGGUCCAGACUCCUACGGGAGGCAGCAGUGGGGAAUAUUGCACAAUGGACGAAAGUCUGAUGCAGCAACGCCGCGUGGAGGAUGACACAUUUCGGUGCGUAAACUCCUUUUAUAUGAGAAGAUAAUGACGGUAUUAUAUGAAUAAGCACCUGCUAACUCCGUGCCAGCCGCCGCGGUAA
This 484-nucleotide ribosomal RNA is filed under the name uncultured bacterium. Its description in RNAcentral is "partial 16S ribosomal RNA". It matches the Rfam family "Bacterial small subunit ribosomal RNA", at positions 29 to 523 of the family's 1533-position model. The record is from RNAcentral.